AUUUGCAAAGACAAGAUACAAAUUAUAAAAUACCAUACACAAAUAGCCAAAUCUACAACCUAGACCAACACCUUUGGUAGUAACUAUCUCAGUCAUAGAAAUUAACUGCAGUCUUUUUCUUCAAGGCAAUAGAACCUCAACGUAAUAUUUCACUGAAGAGUGGAAGAACUAUACCGAAGAACCUUCAGGUGGUCACUCAUCCAUGAGACAACUACAUGCCAUAUAUCAUGGAUUAGUUUGAUGGAAUGAAAGAGAAGAGAAAAUUUUACACUUCUUUUUUUCACAUAAAAGAGCGCAAUUACAUAAAAACAUGACAAUAUAUAGAAAAUAAGACAAAAUACAUUAGCUGCGAAAAAUGUUUACCAAGUUCUUAACUAAACUCUGACUUCAUUUGUAUAGUUCCUAUUUACUCUCCUACAUUAAAUUCUAAGCUUUGUACCAUUUCUAAAAUUCUAUAAGAUAAAUGACAAGUUAGACCUCACAAGUCAAAAAUGUUUGCUUGCUUCAGGGAGUCCAUGUGAUAUAUAGUUCUAUACACAGAAGCAAAGGGAAAUAUAAUGAACCGAUAGACUACUAAUCUACUUUUGUUUUGGUAUCUGCAAAAUGUUGUUAUAUCAAAUCAUGGAGUGAGCAAAAUGUUGUAAUAUUUGAUUGUAUAGUGAGCAACACGUAC
This 673-nucleotide long non-coding RNA is filed under the name Hordeum vulgare. Its description in RNAcentral is "long non-coding RNA (HVUL_LNC015396)". The record is from RNAcentral. Lineage: Eukaryota; Viridiplantae; Streptophyta; Magnoliopsida; Poales; Poaceae.